This 436-nucleotide ribosomal RNA is filed under the name uncultured bacterium. RNAcentral's name for it is "partial 16S ribosomal RNA". It matches the Rfam family "Bacterial small subunit ribosomal RNA", at positions 30 to 506 of the family's 1533-position model. The record is from RNAcentral.
AGCGAACGCUGGCGGCAGGCUUAACACAUGCAAGUCGAGCGGGCAUCCUUGUGGUGUCAGCGGCAGACGGGUGCGUCACGCGUGGGAACGUGCCCUUCGUUUCGGACUAACUCAGGGAAACUUGAGCUAAUACCGGAUACGUGCGAGAGCAGAAAGGUUUAUCUGCCGAAGGAUCGGCCCGCGGCUGAUUAGCUGGUUGGUGAGGUUACGGCUCACCAAGGCGUAGAGCAGUAGCUGGUCUGAGAGGAUGAUCAGCCACACUGGGACUGAGACACGGCCCAGACCUCCAGGGAUGGGAGAAGGGGGGAAGGAGGGACGAUGGGGGAAAGACGAAGCCCGCCAGGCCGUGUGAGUGAGUUCGGCCGUAGGGUGAUAAAGCUCUUUUCUCCGGGACGUUAAUAACGGUACCGGAGGAAUAAGCCCCGGCUAACUUCGU